This 744-nucleotide ribosomal RNA is filed under the name uncultured Arcobacter sp. RNAcentral describes it as "bacterial SSU rRNA". It matches the Rfam family "Bacterial small subunit ribosomal RNA", at positions 97 to 859 of the family's 1533-position model. Lineage: Bacteria; Pseudomonadati; Campylobacterota; Epsilonproteobacteria; Campylobacterales; Arcobacteraceae. The record is from RNAcentral.
GGCGGACGGGUGAGUAAUAUAUAGUUUAACCUGCCCUCGAGAAAGGAAUAACAGUUGGAAACGAACUGGCUAAUGCCCUAUAUGCCUUUAAGACAUAAGUCUGCAAGGGAAAUGCUUUAGUGCUCGAGGAUGGGACUGUACGGUAUCAGAUAGUUGGUGGGGUAAUGGCCUACCAAGUCAAUGACGCCUAACUGGUUUGAGAGGAUGAUCAGUCACACUGGAACUGAGACACGGUCCAGACUCCUACGGGAGGCAGCAGUGGGGAAUAUUGCACAAUGGAGGAAACUCUGAUGCAGCAACGCCGCGUGGAGGAUGACACAUUUCGGUGCGUAAACUCCUUUUAUAUAGGAAGAUAAUGACGGUACUAUAUGAAUAAGCGCCGGCUAACUCCGUGCCAGCAGCCGCGGUAAUACGGAGGGCGCAAGCGUUACUCGGAAUCACUGGGCGUAAAGAGCGUGUAGGCGGAUAGAUAAGUCAGAAGUGAAAUCCUAUGGCUCAACCAUAGAACUGCUUUUGAAACUGUUUAUCUAGAGUGUGGGAGAGGUAGAUGGAAUUUCUGGUGUAGGGGUAAAAUCCGUAGAGAUCAGAAGGAAUACCGAUUGCGAAGGCGAUCUACUGGAACAUAACUGACGCUGAGACGCGAAAGCGUGGGGAGCAAACAGGAUUAGAUACCCUGGUAGUCCACGCCCUAAACGAUGUCACUAGUUGUUGUGAGGCUUGACCUUGCAGUAAUGCAGUAACACA